RNAcentral lists this unclassified non-coding RNA (380 nucleotides) under Hevea brasiliensis (rubber tree). The record is from RNAcentral. Lineage: Eukaryota; Viridiplantae; Streptophyta; Magnoliopsida; Malpighiales; Euphorbiaceae.
GUGGACCGAUGGGAGAUAUUUCUUACAGGCGACACAACAACUAAGUGAUCGGUGGAAGCUAAUGCGAGGCGGAGAAGACCCAACUGUUGAGAUCUGGAUCGCUGAUAAUCUUCCUAGUGAUGCUGCCAUAGGAGUUGACCCAUGGUGUGUGUCUGUCGAAUCAGCUCAGAGAUAUGAACAGGCUUUCUCAAGGAACAACCAGAACUUAAUUCAAUUAUCUACCAACCUGGUGGAUCAAGUAUGGAAAGACAGGCCUAUGGCUGAAACUUUACCUGUAAAUGUCCAUCCACUAGAAUUUGCUGGGCAUGCUGUUGAGGAUAAGUUAAAAGAUCUGAGGGAGAAACUUAAACAGGAGAAAACCUACGGUAUCAUAAUUGCGG